UGCAGUCGAGCGCCCCGCAGGGGGAGCGGCAGACGGGUGAGUAACGCGUGGGAAUCUACCCAUCACUACGGAAUAACUCCGGGAAACUGGAGCUAAUACCGUAUACGUCCUUCGGGAGAAAGAUUUAUCGGUGAUGGAUGAGCCCGCGUUGGAUUAGCUAGUUGGUGGGGUAAUGGCCUACCAAGGCGACGGUCCAUAGCUGGUCUGAGAGGAUGAUCAGCCACACUGGGACUGAGACACGGCCCAGACUCCUACGGGAGGCAGCAGUGGGGAAUAUUGGACAAUGGGCGCAAGCCUGAUCCAGCCAUGCCGCGUGAGUGAUGAAGGCCCUAGGGUUGUAAAGCUCUUUUAACGGUGAAGAUAAUGACGGUAACCGUAAAAAAAGCCCCGGCUAACUUCGUGCCAGC
This 407-nucleotide ribosomal RNA is filed under the name uncultured bacterium. Its description in RNAcentral is "bacterial SSU rRNA". It matches the Rfam family "Bacterial small subunit ribosomal RNA", at positions 56 to 512 of the family's 1533-position model. The record is from RNAcentral.